CCUUGACAUGUCCGGAAGGCUUGAGAGAUCAGGUUGUGCCCGAAAGGGAACCGGAACACAGGUGCUGCAUGGCUGUCGUCAGCUCGUGUCGUGAGAUGUUGGGUUAAGUCCCGCAACGAGCGCAACCCUUGUCAUUAGUUGCUACAUUCAGUUGGGCACUCUAAUGAGACUGCCGGUGACAAACCGGAGGAAGGUGGGGAUGACGUCAAGUCCUCAUGGCCCUUAUGGGUAGGGCUUCACACGUAAUACAAUGGCGCGUACAGAGGGUUGCCAAGCCGCGAGGUGGAGCCAAUCCCUUAAAGCGCGUCGUAGUCCGGAUUGCAGUCUGCAACUCGACUGCAUGAAGUCGGAAUCGCUAGUAAUCGCGGAUCAGCAUGUCGCGGUGAAUACGUUCCCGGGUCUUGUACACACCGCCCGUCACACCAUGGGAGUGGGUUUCACCAGAAGCCGGUCGCCUAACCGCAAGGAGGGCGCCGACCACGGUGAGAUUCAUGACUGGGGUG
This 503-nucleotide ribosomal RNA is filed under the name uncultured bacterium. RNAcentral's name for it is "bacterial SSU rRNA". It matches the Rfam family "Bacterial small subunit ribosomal RNA", at positions 979 to 1482 of the family's 1533-position model. The record is from RNAcentral.